RNAcentral lists this long non-coding RNA (1105 nucleotides) under Pan troglodytes (chimpanzee). Its description in RNAcentral is "long non-coding RNA NONPTRT007921". The record is from RNAcentral. Lineage: Eukaryota; Metazoa; Chordata; Mammalia; Primates; Hominidae.
CUCAUUGUCCCAGAGGAAGCUCUGUCCCCCUCAGCAGUUGCUCCCCAUCCUGCCCCCCACACCCCAAAACCAGGCAUCUCCUUCCUCCCUCUGUGGACUGGCCUGUCCUGGACAUCUCAUAGAAAUGGGAUCGCGCACUGUGUGGCCUUUUGUGCCUGGAGUCUCUCACCGAGUGGCCCAUCCUCAGAGUUCAUCCACUCUGUGGCCUGCGUCAGAGCCUUGCUCCAUUUCAUGGCUGAGUCGCGUUCUGCUGUGUGUGGUGCCGGGCGACCUGCUCCCCUGCUGAUGGGCGCUCAUGUGGCCUACUCUCUGGCUAUUGGGAGUCGUGCUGCUGUGGACAUUGGUGUGCAGGUGCUGGUGUGGACGUUGGUGUGCAGGUGCUGGUGUGGACAUUGGUGUGCAGGUGUUGGUGUGGGUGCUGGUGUGGACGUUGGUGUGCAGGUGUUGGUGUGGGUGCUGGUGUGGACGUUGGUGUGCAGGUGUUGGUGUGGGUGCUGGUGUGGACGUUGGUGUGCAGGUGUUGGUGUGGGUGUUGGUGUGGACGUUGGUGUGCAGGUGUUGGUGUGGGUGUUGGUGUGGACGUUGGUGUGUAGGUGUUGGUGUGCAGGUGUUGGUGUGGACAUUGGUGUGCAGGUGUUGGUGUGGAUAUUGGUGUGCAGGUGUUGGUGUGGAUAUUGGUGUGCAGGUGUUGGUGUGGACAUUGGUGUGCAGGUGCUGGUGUGGACGUUGGUGUGCAGGUGUUGGUGUGGACGUUGGUGUGCAGGUGUUGGCGUGGAUGUUGGUGUGCAGGUGUUGGCGUGGACAUUGGUGUGCAGGUGCUGGUGUAGACAUUGGUGUGCAGGUGCUGGUGUGGACGUUGGUGUGUAGGUGUUGGUGUGCAGGUGUUGGUGUGGACAUUGGUGUGCAGGUGUUGGUGUGGAUAUUGGUGUGCAGGUGCUGGUGUGGACGUUGGUGUGCAGGUGUUGGUGUGCAGGUGUUGGUGUGGACAUUGGUGUGCAGGUGGUGUGGACGUUGGUGUGCAGGUGCUGGUGUGGACGUUGGUGUGCAGGUGUUGGUGUACAGGUGUUGGUGUGGACAUUGGUGUGCAGGUGUUGGUGUGGACAUU